AUACGAAGGGCCCGAGCGUUAUUCGGAAUCACUGGGCUUAAAGCGUACGUAGGCUGGUAUAUAGGCGUCUUGUGAAAUCCCUCGGCUCAACCGAGGAACUGCAAGGCGAACCAUAUAUCUUGAGACAGAUAGAGGUCGUCGGAACGAUUGGUGGAGUGGUGAAAUGCGUUGAUAUCAAUCGGAACGCCGAAGGAGAAGUCAGGCGACUGGGUCUGUUCUGACGCUGAGGUACGAAAGCGUGGGUAGCGAACGGGAUUAGAAACCCUAGUAGUCC
RNAcentral lists this ribosomal RNA (274 nucleotides) under uncultured bacterium. RNAcentral's name for it is "partial 16S ribosomal RNA". It matches the Rfam family "Bacterial small subunit ribosomal RNA", at positions 523 to 796 of the family's 1533-position model. The record is from RNAcentral.